Molecule: ribosomal RNA, 166 nt
Filed under: Peribacillus simplex
Lineage: Bacteria; Bacillati; Bacillota; Bacilli; Caryophanales; Bacillaceae
Description: Bacillus simplex partial 16S ribosomal RNA
Rfam family: Bacterial small subunit ribosomal RNA
Source: RNAcentral
UUCUUCGGAGAGUUUGAUCCUGGCUCAGGACGAACGCUGGCGGCGUGCCUAAUACAUGCAAGUCGAGCGAAUCGACGGGAGCUUGCUCCCUGAGAUUAGCGGCGGACGGGUGAGUAACACGUGGGCAACCUGCCUAUAAGACUGGGAUAACUUCGGGAAACCGGAG